AUUCAGUUGACGAGUCCAAAAUAGAACGAAACACGCGUCCUGGAU
This 45-nucleotide non-coding RNA is filed under the name Schistosoma mattheei. Lineage: Eukaryota; Metazoa; Platyhelminthes; Trematoda; Strigeidida; Schistosomatidae. The record is from RNAcentral.